CACUUUUCAAAAAAAUGUGCAGAAUUUAUCUUUGUUUCAAAUAAAGAAAUACUUGGCAUGAGUAAAGUUUUAUCCUGUCCAGUACUAUAAAAAAAAUUCACAUAACAUUUCAUUGCAUAUAAGAAAAUAACCAUCAUUGGAAGUUAACCAAUCAAAUGUCUCCCCUUAUUUUAUCUGUGUACAAGGUUUAGUCACCAUGUAACCUCAAGAUUACAAAAUUUUCUAUAGAAAUCCCAAAUAAAAAAUAAUGGUGUUUUGAAAUACCCAAGACAUAUGUUUAUGACACAGAAAUUUUUGUACUGCAAUAAAAUGUGGGAUUAAUUACCUACAACUGUCAAAUUCAAGGGGAAUAUUUUUUUAGACCUACUUUCGUAUA
RNAcentral lists this long non-coding RNA (376 nucleotides) under Mytilus galloprovincialis (Mediterranean mussel). The record is from RNAcentral. Lineage: Eukaryota; Metazoa; Mollusca; Bivalvia; Mytilida; Mytilidae.